Molecule: long non-coding RNA, 1007 nt
Filed under: Homo sapiens (human)
Lineage: Eukaryota; Metazoa; Chordata; Mammalia; Primates; Hominidae
Description: non-protein coding lnc-B3GLCT-6:1
Source: RNAcentral
AAAACUCGGAAUAGUCACAAUUUACUACCGGGAGGUGGUGUCCGAUCCUUAACGCUAAAGGGAGGCUGGGCGGGCGGAGACAGACCCCAUUUUUGCAGAGACCCCAGACACCGGGAUGGUGGGGAGGCCGGCCAGCUGUCCGGAGAGCAUGUUGGGAAUCGUAGUCCCGCUGGGAGAAGUGUGCGCCUUGCAUGCUGGGAUGUGUAGUCCUGGCCGCAGUGCUUGCUGGGACCCGGCUUUGUCUUCUGGGACUCGCGAGAGAGGCUGGGUAGGGUUUUGUCUGGCGCUUUUGCGCGGGUUCCCUGGCAAUAAGCGUCAUUUUGUUCGUUUGUUUUGUAUUCACUUCUAUUAUUGUCUGGAUUACCCCGACAACUGGUGCGUUACGACUUAGGAGAAGGAACACCAGUUCAAACCGCUUAUAAUAAAAGCAAAGGGGUUGUGUUAAGUGUUCUUGUAUUCAUCAGGCAGCAGGAUGAUCUCUUGUGGAGUAAAAUGUCAGGUGUUUUUUUUUUUAAGAAAUCGAUUUUUAGUUGUGACGUCAUUUGGCAGGCUGUCCACGGUAUCACUUUCUGCUUAUUUUUAAAAGGUCUGAUUUAAGCCGACGCUGUUCUACCCUGCCACUCCUAGCCAUAAAUUGGUACUGUGUGUAAGUUUUGCUUUUUGUUUGAUCUGAAGCAGCUUUUGUUUCUUUCCCUCAGAAGCGAUGUCCCCGUUAACUUUUGUUCAGUAAAGAGACAGUGUAAGAAAAGGUGGAACUGUGUUGCUGAUAACUUAUCAGGUCUUUUAUACCCUUUUGUGUCUUUUUAAGUUUGCUUCUGAUCCCUGAGUUUACCUUAUGUCAGGCAUGUGGAAGUAUAAGCACAGUUCAAAUAUGUUAUUGGAUAAGCGUGUAAUUGAAUAAGGAGUUGUAACCUAAAGUUAGAAAAAUCUAACUCAUAAAGAGUAUGGGAAUUCCUCCUUGUCUAUCAAAACAAGUUGGUUAAGUCAGAGGCAAGACGAAAGGCCCA